AUGACAAGACCAUCAUCUAUCUAUCUACCCAUCCAUCCAUAUGCAUCCAUCUGUAUGUUUGCACUUCAAGCACUUUGGGAAACACCUUCACUAUUUCAGACCAUUCAGGCAAAUGAUUGCUGCGAUACCUCAGGGAACAGUUUAUUCUUUAACAAAAUUUGGUGGAGUGUUUUUGAAUUUUUGUUUUCUAAGGACCUCUGUACCGAUAAUCUAACAUUUUAGUAUCUCUCUAUGUUUCUAGAAUAAAAGAUGCCGUGCACUACAGCCACCAAUUCAAACACUCUCGUCACCCUAAGAGCUCUUGAAAUUGCACCUGGCGGAAAGCAUUUCCCAGCCAACUGGAAAUAAGGAAGAGUUCCCUUCCCCUCAUCCUGUUUGUUCCUGAAAUGCUCAUGAAUCUUCAUUUCUACCUUCAGAAAACAAUUACUAGACUGCUUGUACUUUCCUUAGCUGUUGAAGCUCCAAUGUCUAAGGAUGUAAACAUUUGUUUUAAGACAAUGUUUCCUUUAAUUAUAUAUCUUAGAAGAGCAAAUCGCCUACUUAACUCAAUCCCUUCAGAGGUUCCCAGUGAGAAUUUAUACACCUGAGCCCUAAAUGGAAAUUUGGGGUCAUUCAGUGUUUCUGAAGGGCAGGCAGGUGGAUAUCAAGUCCACAUCUUUUUAGGCAUUACUUUUAAUUACUUUAAAAGUAAACACCCUUCCCGUUAGAGUUGUGUUUCUUCAAUUAAUGAGAUAACAGAGCAGUGUUCCUAGGACACUGGCUGCUCCUCCGUGAUAGCAAGUAAACUGCACAAGCUACAUCUGUAAUUGGUUUUCUGAUCCAGCCUCAGCAAACACACAUGAGUGAAGUUCAUGGAAGGGAUAAACGGAUUUAGUUACCUUCACAAGCUACCUUCAAAGAGCAGUUUAAUUUUGUUUCCUUAUAGCAGCUUCCCUUCCCCCAGCCCAUUAGAGCUUCUUGAUUUAUGAUACAGUAGUUGUAGCUUUCCCAGUCAAGACAGGAUUUUCUUCUGUCAGAAAAUGUGGCUCCCAAGGAUACCGCCCUGGGAGAGUAAAUGAGAUUCUAAUAGUUCCAGAUUAUUACUAAAGGCAGAGUCAAGGAAAUAACUUUUAUUUUCUUUCUAUUAACCACACAUAGCAAUGAAAAUUCUCAAUUAAUAGGUUAAUUUAUAUGAUUUAUAGUUCAAUAUGCAGAAUAUUAAUCAUGAGACAUUAAAAGAAAUGCUUCCUGUUAAUAUCAGUUUUCUGUAGUAUCUAAGUUGCUUUGUAAGCUACAUGAUUUGUUACAAUUAGACAGGCAUGUUACUUACGAAGGCCAAAAUAAUAUUGGAAGGCCCCAAGGGCCAUUUGUUUUUACUAAUGCUGUACAAUUUUCUCUUAAUCAAUAACUAGAAUUUGCUUCGUUGGUCUUCUAAAGUCAAAUGCAUUUACAAUGGGAUCUGUUGCUAUUUUUCUGAGUAUUUUGUGUAUCAGAGCCUCCUUGUAAGUGGUUUGCUAUCAAUAAAUAAUCAAACAACAACAUACUGGAGGUCAUUACCCUUGAAAAACCUCAGUGGUUUAGAAAUUCAGUUCAAAUUUUGUACCUUAUUGUUAUCAAUACAAUUUAUGGCUAAAUAGCGGUAACAUUACAUGUGGGAUGUCUACGUGAACUAAGCACAGGAUCUGUUCCCAAGAUCUUGUGGUCUAAAAGGGGAAACCGACAAGAAGCCAGACCAUUGCAACGCGACGUGGCCAGCGGUGCAAUCCAUGCAUGAACGUGCAUCGUGACGGUGCCCCAGCGGCUGGGAGAGUCUCUGAAUGACCUUUAGGCCAGCACUUCCUAGAUACUUGGUCAUUUUACUGGAACUCCUUAAGUUCAGUCACUGGUUACAUGCAUAAUUGGAAAAGAGUUUUUAUGGAUGACUUUAGGAGCCAUAGCAGAGAAUUAGCUCUUAAAGUCAUUAUUGACUCUUCUGCAAUCAGAAAAGCACUAUGAUUAAGUAACAGUCUCUGUGGCGAAGCCACCUAGAACAAGCAGAUCUUGGAGUGGAGUGAGUCUAGAAAGUGCAGUUAGCUUUUGGCCUCUGUGGAGAAGGGAGGUGCUGGAGCCACCCUUUACCCACGCCCCAGUUAUG
This 2113-nucleotide long non-coding RNA is filed under the name Macaca mulatta (Rhesus monkey). Its description in RNAcentral is "lncRNA (ENSMMUG00000063327.1)". Lineage: Eukaryota; Metazoa; Chordata; Mammalia; Primates; Cercopithecidae. The record is from RNAcentral.